Non-coding RNA from Clostridium pasteurianum, 265 nucleotides. It matches the Rfam family "Bacterial large signal recognition particle RNA". Rfam says of the family: The signal recognition particle (SRP) is a universally conserved ribonucleoprotein involved in the co-translational targeting of proteins to membranes. Archaeal SRP consists of a 7S RNA and homologues of the eukaryotic SRP19 and SRP54 proteins. The record is from Rfam. NCBI's taxonomy places the organism in Bacteria, Bacillati, Bacillota, Clostridia, Eubacteriales, Clostridiaceae.
UUGUGCUAGAUGGGGAGUUAGCGGUGCCUUGUAACCUGCAAUCCGCUAUAGCAGGGUUGAAGUCCUUGCUGAGGUCUUAAUUUGUGAGGUCUGCCUUAUAUAAGUGGUGUUGAGAGCUUGGUCCCACGCAACGAAAAUUCACGAACUCCGUCAGGUCCGGAAGGAAGCAGCGGUAAGUGGACACUUUCGUGUGCCGUGGAACAACCUGGUUUGAGCUAACUGUAUAAGUAACGCUUAUGAAUUAGGAUCGACGCAAGGUGCACAA